UAAUACCGGAUACGAGGUUCGCAGGCAUCUGUGAACUUGGAAAGCUCCGGCGGUGAAGGAUGAGCCCGCGGCCUAUCAGCUUGUUGGUGAGGUAAUGGCUCACCAAGGCGACGACGGGUAGCCGGCCUGAGAGGGCGACCGGCCACACUGGGACUGAGACACGGCCCAGACUCCUACGGGAGGCAGCAGUGGGGAAUAUUGCACAAUGGGCGAAAGCCUGAUGCAGCGACGCCGCGUGAGGGAUGACGGCCUUCGGGUUGUAAACCUCUUUCAGCAGGGAAGAAGCGAAAGUGACGGUACCUGCAGAAGAAGCGCCGGCUAACUACGUGCCAGCAGCCGCGGUAAUACGUAGGGCGCAAGCGUUGUCCGGAAUUAUUGGGCGUAAAGAGCUCGUAGGCGGCUUGUCACGUCGGGUGUGAAAGCCCGGGGCUUAACCCCGGGUCUGCAUUCGAUACGGGCUAGCUAGAGUGUGGGUAGGGGAGAUCGGAAUUCCUGGUGUAGCGGUGAAAUGCGCAGAUAUCAGGAGGAACACCGGUGGCGAAGGCGGAUCUCUGGGCCAUUACUGACGCUGAGGAGCGAAAGCGUGGGGGAGCGAACAGGAUUAGAUACCCUGGUAGUCCACGCCGUAAACGGUGGGAACUAGGUGUUGGCGACAUUCCACGUCGUCGGUGCCGCAGCUA
This 680-nucleotide ribosomal RNA is filed under the name Streptomyces sp. RNAcentral describes it as "bacterial SSU rRNA". It matches the Rfam family "Bacterial small subunit ribosomal RNA", at positions 164 to 854 of the family's 1533-position model. Lineage: Bacteria; Bacillati; Actinomycetota; Actinomycetes; Kitasatosporales; Streptomycetaceae. The record is from RNAcentral.